RNAcentral lists this ribosomal RNA (301 nucleotides) under uncultured bacterium. RNAcentral's name for it is "partial 16S ribosomal RNA". It matches the Rfam family "Bacterial small subunit ribosomal RNA", at positions 509 to 808 of the family's 1533-position model. The record is from RNAcentral.
CAGUCGCCACGGUAAUACGUAGGUCCCGAGCGUUGUCCGGAUUUAUUGGGCGUAAAGCGAGCGCAGGCGGUUUGAUAAGUCUGAAGUUAAAGGCUGUGGCUCAACCAUAGUUCGCUUUGGAAACUGUCAAACUUGAGUGCAGAAGGGGAGAGUGGAAUUCCAUGUGUAGCGGCGAAAUGCGUAGAUAUAUGGAGGAACACCGGUGGCGAAAGCGGCUCUCUGGUCUGUAACUGACGCUGAGGCUCGAAAGCGUGGGGAGCGAACAGGACUAGAUACCCCCGUAGUCCCUGUCUCUUAUACA